Myzus persicae (green peach aphid) is the source of this 1229-nucleotide long non-coding RNA. RefSeq lists it as uncharacterized. NCBI's taxonomy places the organism in Eukaryota, Metazoa, Arthropoda, Insecta, Hemiptera, Aphididae. The record is from RefSeq and is a predicted model, not a curated record. The transcript has 4 exons.
AAUGGAAUAAAUAUAUUAUACACGUAUACCUACCUACUUUAAAUGAUUUUUACGAUAAACAUUUAGUAAGUUUAAUGAAUGUAAGAAAUGAUUUUGUAUUAUUUAACAAUGAAUAAAACAUUGUAAAAAAUUAUAAACACAUUUAAUUGAUAAAUACUAAACCUGUGAAUUAAUUGACGAUAAACGAGUACAUUAUAGUAACGUAUUUAUUGUAUUGAGCUCUUGAGAGUUGAGAUGUUAAUACUUUAAUUAUUAUUAUAUGCGAUCGAUCUGUUAUAAUAUGCUUACGAAAUAUUUAUGUUUAUUGGUGUAUACGAAUGGACAAAUUUGACAAAAAAUUACAUCACUUGUACGCAUUUUUCCGUUAGAUAAGUCAGCACUAUGAUUUUCAAUAUUUUAUUUUUAUUAUUUCAUUUUGUCUGUUCUCAGUGAAAUUGAGUGAAUUAUUGCCGAUUACAUUAGCCGUAAAUCAAUCAAAAAAUAUAUAUUAUUAGAAACAAAGGAAUUACAAUUAAACGAAAACUGCUGGCGUUCCAAAACUAUUACCUUUUCUGACUUAUUGGCUGACGUACUUCGAGUCCUGAGGGUGGAGAUAUUAAGACACACGGUAGUUAUGUACAUAUAUCUGUAUAUUUUGGCCGUUAGAUGGACGGAAACAAUAUAUAAUUCUCGUUAUACUGUCAUCUCGACUAUCUCGAUGGACAUUCACGGGCACCGGUGAUUCAUUUAAGGUGAUACCCCAGUUUUAUUUCGAACGCGUCAGGAAUAUUAUGAUAUAAUAAAUAAUAAAAAACACCUGAGGAUCAGAACGCAGAUGCAAACGAUCAUGUAAGAUUGGAGCGUGCCGAUGGACGCCAUGUCGACGAGCUGCUCGAGAUUGAAUACGGUCGACAACAGUCCUGCAGAGAAACAAUUAAGAUAUUGUAUAAGUGCUCUAGGACAAUGCUUCCCAAAUACCUACAUAAUUCAUUUCAUGUAAAGCGAUAGGUAACGUCUUUAUGUAUCUUUAGCGAUUAUCGGACAUGGUCUUACCGUUACUCAAACAAAUGAACAACUAAAUUAGUCAAUUGAACAUAUAUCGUGAUCGCAUUUGUUUCCGGUACCAGUAUAAUAUGAUUAUUGUUAUUUGGUUAUUUUUUAAAGAGUUUUCGAUAAUUUUCAGGACACUUAAAUUCGAGACCUACUCAUAACUAUAUCAAAAUAAACCGAUUGCGUGUUGGACGUUCCCC